CGAAGGGUGCGAGCGUUGUUCGGAAUUACUGGGCGUAAAGGGCUCGUAGGUGGCCAACUAAGUCGGACGUGAAAUCCCUCGGCUUAACCGGGGAACUGCGUCCGAUACUGGUUGGCUUGAGUUUGGGAGAGGGAUGCGGAAUUCCAGGUGUAGCGGUGAAAUGCGUAGAUAUCUGGAGGAACACCGGUGGCGAAGGCGGCAUCCUGGACCAAUACUGACGCUGAGGAGCGAAAGCCAGGGGAGCAAACGGGAUUAGAUACCCCGGUAGUCCUGGCCCUAAACGAUGAAUGCUUGGUGUGGCGGGUAUCGAUCCCUGCCGUGCCGAAGCUAACGCAUUAAGCAUUCCGCCUGGGGAGUACGGUCGCAAGGCUG
This 372-nucleotide ribosomal RNA is filed under the name uncultured organism. RNAcentral's name for it is "bacterial SSU rRNA". It matches the Rfam family "Bacterial small subunit ribosomal RNA", at positions 526 to 896 of the family's 1533-position model. The record is from RNAcentral.